CCUGACUUCUUGGAAGGGCAGUAUUUAUUAGAUAUCAGCCAAUAACCUUCGGGUAUUGUGGNGAAUCAUAGUAACUUAGCGGAUCGGCUGGGCGUUAGCCCACGACAAACCAUUCAAGUUUCUGCCCCAUCAGCUUUCGAUGGUAGUGUAUUGGACUACCAUGGCUUUUACGGGUGACGGAGGAUUAGGGUUCGAUUCCGGAGAGGGAGCCUGAGAAACGGCUACCACAUCCAAGGAAGGCAGCAGGCGCGUAAAUUACCCAAUCCUAAUUCAGGGAGGUAGUGACAAGAAAUAACGGGCCGGGA
RNAcentral lists this ribosomal RNA (305 nucleotides) under uncultured Spirotrichea. RNAcentral describes it as "SSU rRNA". It matches the Rfam family "Eukaryotic small subunit ribosomal RNA", at positions 182 to 490 of the family's 1831-position model. The record is from RNAcentral. Lineage: Eukaryota; Ciliophora; Spirotrichea.